GUGACAGCAGAGAGACAGGAAAGGCGGGAGAGAGAGGGGGGAUGUCAUGCAGCAAAGGGCCCCCUGGUUGGAAUCAAACCCGGGCUGCUGCGGCAGGGGCAAUGUGAAACCAGAACCAAUGGGACUGAAAAACUUACGGAUGGCGUCCAUAGCGACAAUGCGGUCUGUGGGCUCGCUGAAGGGCCCGGGCCCGGCUAGGUUCUC
Long non-coding RNA from Siniperca chuatsi (mandarin fish), 204 nucleotides. RefSeq lists it as uncharacterized. The transcript is spliced from 3 exons. Lineage: Eukaryota; Metazoa; Chordata; Actinopteri; Centrarchiformes; Sinipercidae. The record is from RefSeq and is a predicted model, not a curated record.